GUAGGGUGCAAGCGUUAAUCGGAAUUACUGGGCGUAAAGCGUGCGCAGGCGGUUAUGUAAGACAGAGGUGAAAUCCCCGGGCUCAACCUGGGAACGGCCUUUGUGACUGCAUAGCUAGAGUACGGUAGAGGGGGAUGGAAUUCCGCGUGUAGCAGUGAAAUGCGUAGAUAUGCGGAGGAACACCGAUGGCGAAGGCAAUCCCCUGGACCUGUACUGACGCUCAUGCACGAAAGCGUGGGGAGCAAACAGGAUUAGAUACCCUGGUAGUCCACGCCCUAAACGAUGUCAACUGGUUGUUGGGAAUUAACUUUCUCAGUAACGAAGCUAACGCGUGAAGUUGACCGCCUGGGGAGUACGGCCGCAAGGUUG
This 369-nucleotide ribosomal RNA is filed under the name uncultured Pseudomonadota bacterium. Its description in RNAcentral is "bacterial SSU rRNA". It matches the Rfam family "Bacterial small subunit ribosomal RNA", at positions 527 to 896 of the family's 1533-position model. The record is from RNAcentral. Lineage: Bacteria; Pseudomonadati; Pseudomonadota.